Long non-coding RNA from Mastomys coucha (southern multimammate mouse), 279 nucleotides. RefSeq lists it as uncharacterized. The record is from RefSeq and is a predicted model, not a curated record. Lineage: Eukaryota; Metazoa; Chordata; Mammalia; Rodentia; Muridae. The transcript is spliced from 3 exons.
CAUUCACGAUGUUGAACUUCUCAUGUUCCAUAUGAUCUGGGCAGGGUUCUCUUCUCAGAAGACCCUAAACUCUGCUUAACUACAAACCUGCAAAAAGACUGUGAGUUGGAGAAAGAAAGAAAGCAAAAGGCACACUGGAAUUUAAAUAACUCUUCUAAAUAGAGGAAUUUUCAAGGGCCACCCUCCCAUCCUUGUAUCCCCACCCUCCAAACACAAGAAAGAAGGAAGAAAAGAAAGGAAGAAAGAAAGAAAGAAAGACAGAAAGAAAGAAAGAAAGAA